Molecule: ribosomal RNA, 253 nt
Filed under: uncultured bacterium
Lineage: Bacteria
Description: partial 16S ribosomal RNA
Rfam family: Bacterial small subunit ribosomal RNA
Source: RNAcentral
UACGGAGGGGGCAAGCGUUGUUCGGAAUUACUGGGCGUAAAGCGUGCGCAGGCGGUUAUGCAAGGCAGAUGUGAAAUCCCCGGGCUUAACCUGGGGACCGCAUUUGUGACUGCAUAGCUGGAGUACGGCAGAGGGGGAUGGAAUUCCGCGUGUAGCAGUGAAAUGCGUAGAUAUGCGGAGGAACACCGAUGGCGAAGGCAGUCCCCUGGGCCUGUACUGACGCUCAUGCACGAAAGCGUGGGGAGCAAACAGG